This 254-nucleotide ribosomal RNA is filed under the name uncultured bacterium. Its description in RNAcentral is "partial 16S ribosomal RNA". It matches the Rfam family "Bacterial small subunit ribosomal RNA", at positions 524 to 777 of the family's 1533-position model. The record is from RNAcentral.
UACGAAGGGGGCUAGCGUUGUUCGGAUUUACUGGGCGUAAAGCGCACGUAGGCGGAUCGUUAAGUCAGGGGUGAAAUCCUGGAGCUCAACUCCAGAACUGCCUUUGAUACUGGCGAUCUCGAGUCCGGAAGAGGUGAGUGGAACUCCUAGUGUAGAGGUGGAAUUCGUAGAUAUUAGGAAGAACACCAGUGGCGAAGGCGGCUCACUGGUCCGGAACUGACGCUGAGGUGCGAAAGCGUGGGGAGCAAACAGGG